CCUGGUCGGACAUCAGGAGGUUAGUGCAAUGGCAUAAGCCAGCUUGACUGCGAGCGUGACGGCGCGAGCAGGUGCGAAAGCAGGUCAUAGUGAUCCGGUGGUUCUGAAUGGAAGGGCCAUCGCUCAACGGAUAAAAGGUACUCCGGGGAUAACAGGCUGAUACCGCCCAAGAGUUCAUAUCGACGGCGGUGUUUGGCACCUCGAUGUCGGCUCAUCACAUCCUGGGGCUGAAGUAGGUCCCAAGGGUAUGGCUGUUCGCCAUUUAAAGUGGUACGCGAGCUGGGUUUAGAACGUCGUGAGACAGUUCGGUCCCUAUCUGCCGUGGGCGCUGGAGAA
This 336-nucleotide ribosomal RNA is filed under the name Escherichia coli. Its description in RNAcentral is "partial 23S ribosomal RNA". It matches the Rfam family "Bacterial large subunit ribosomal RNA", at positions 2326 to 2661 of the family's 2925-position model. Lineage: Bacteria; Pseudomonadati; Pseudomonadota; Gammaproteobacteria; Enterobacterales; Enterobacteriaceae. The record is from RNAcentral.